GUGAGGAAUUUUCCGCAAUGGGCGAAAGCCUGACGGAGCAAUGCCGCGUGAAGGAUGAAGGCCUAUGGGUUGUAAACUUCUUUUCUCAGAAAAGAAUUAUGACGGUAUCUGAGGAAUAAGCAUCGGCUAACUCUGUGCCAGCAGCCGCGGUAAGACAGAGGAUGCAAGCGUUAUCCGGAAUGAUUGGGCGUAAAGCGUCUGUAGGUUGUUUAAAAAGUAUUCUGUCAAAGAUUAGGGCUUAACCCUAGAUAGGCAGAAUAAACUUUUAAGCUAGAGUUUGGUAGAGGCAGAGGGAAUUCCCGGUGGAGCGGUGAAAUGCGUAGAUAUCGGGAGGAACACCAAAGGCGAAGGCACUCUGCUGGGCCAAUGCUAACACUGAGAGACGAAAGCGAGGGGAGCAAAUGGGAUUAGAUACCCCUGUAGUCC
RNAcentral lists this ribosomal RNA (426 nucleotides) under uncultured bacterium. Its description in RNAcentral is "bacterial SSU rRNA". It matches the Rfam family "Bacterial small subunit ribosomal RNA", at positions 354 to 796 of the family's 1533-position model. The record is from RNAcentral.